Molecule: long non-coding RNA, 698 nt
Organism: Triticum dicoccoides
Lineage: Eukaryota; Viridiplantae; Streptophyta; Magnoliopsida; Poales; Poaceae
Exons: 4
Source: RefSeq, a predicted model, not a curated record
UCUCCCUUCGCUAAAAAAGUUCGAGAGGCACACCCAGCAACCAAGGCUCCCGCCGCCGCCGCCCCCUCACCCUCGGCCGCCUGCCCUCGUUCCUCCUCCCAUCUUGCCUCCCUCACCAAUUUCUCCGCUCGUCAGGGACGCACACUGCGUUGUCGCCCAUCCUUUUGCGUCGGGAAGGCAUCGACCCUGCCAUUCCUCCACACGACCGGAGAUGCAGACGCCGUCGCCGCCCCCUCGCCCUCGGACGCCUGCCCUCGUUCCUCCUCCAAGCUCGCCUCCCUCGCCAAAUUGUCCGCUCGUCGGGGACGCACACUGCAUCGGGAAGACAUCGGGGAAGGCAUCGCCCCUGCCGUUCCUCCGCGCGACCGGAGAUGCAGAUGCCGCUGUUGUUCGCCCGCACGGCCAGGAAUGACACAAGUACCGAUGGACCCGUCCUCCUCAACUGCAGCAGUUCAGCAGGUGGCUCUUUCAAAUUAUGAGUGGAUAUAGAAUGAGGUUCUGAUAAUCUUAUUCAUGGAUCAGGAAAUUAUAAUUUGUGACUUUGUAGUUCUCAGAUCACCAAGAUAAAUUGACGAUGCAUGGGUCAUAUGUUCAUUGCAAGGAUAAGAAUGGAGCUACUACAAGAUAAUUAGAAUGCCAUUUUAGGAUCAAUGUUUCAAACAUUAUAGUUGAUUGCAAGGUCAAGAAUUGGGCCACUA